Molecule: long non-coding RNA, 793 nt
Organism: Dreissena polymorpha
Lineage: Eukaryota; Metazoa; Mollusca; Bivalvia; Myida; Dreissenidae
Exons: 5
Source: RefSeq, a predicted model, not a curated record
UUUGUCUGCAGCGCUUCGCUGAUCUGUGUGUAAACCCUGGAAUUAGGUCAGAAAUGUGCGUUUUGUUUGUGUUUUCACCGUUUCCUCUGUAGAAUAAUCGUGGAGAGUGUUUCAUUUAUAGAUCGCAUAUUAACUAAACUUUCAAAAGUGAUGUAUAGAUUUACAUUUAACCGAAAUUGUCUGUUAAUGUAAUUCUACUUGGGAUUAAUUGGUGUGUUUAAAUGAAGUAAUGAUCAAAUGUGAAGUGACCCAUUCACGUGACAUUGACCGAUGUUGUGUCAGGCCAGAUUUACCAUGCCCAUGUUUGUCCUGUGUCAGUGACCAUGUGAUUCGUUCCAUCCAUAUGGCGAAAAAAAUGAAAGCGAUGACCUGAUAAAGGACAUGGAUUGUUGAGAUACACCUUCCACGAAAACAUACAUCUUUGCCAUGUGCUGCUGUCUUGAGGAGGUAACUCUGCUGUCUUGAGGAGGUAACUCUGCUGUCUUGAGGAGGUAACUCUGCUGUCUUGAGGAGGUAACUCUGCUGUCUUGAGGAGGAUCCGUAUAGACUUCUCGCACAGACUUCCAGAGACCGGCCUCAAAGUCAACCACGAACGUUGUUACUUUGGUUUCGCUUAGAAGCGAAUUCACUUUCUGCAACGCAUGAACAGACAAUAAUAAUAACAAUUAGAAAUGGCGCGGCAGAGGCCGUCGCGUAUCCCCACGCCGCAUGUUUGACCCGGAGGGGCGCGCCAGGCUUACCCCGGCCAGCUCAACCGGUAGAGUGCUGAUCUCUGACUCGCUCAUGGGUUGGU